AGAACGAACGCUGGCGGCAGGCUUAACACAUGCAAGUCGAACGGCUGUAGCAAUACAGCAGUGGCAGACGGGUGAGUAACACGUGGGAACCUUCCUAGGGGUACGGAACAACUCAGGGAAACUUGAGCUAAUACCGUAUACGUCCGUGAGGAGAAAGUUUUAACGCCCCUAGACGGGCCCGCGUAGGAUUAGGUAGUUGGUGAGGUAACGGCUCACCAAGCCUACGAUCCUUAGCUGAUCUGAGAGGAUGAUCAGCCACACUGGGACUGAGACACGGCCCAGACUCCUACGGGAGGCAGCAGUGGGGAAUCUUGGACAAUGGGCGCAAGCCUGAUCCAGCCAUGCCGCGUGAGUGAAGAAGGCCUUCGGGUUGUAAAGCUCUUUUACCAGGGACGAUAAUGACGGUACCUGGAGAAUAAGCCCGGCAAACUUCGUGCCAGCAGCCGC
RNAcentral lists this ribosomal RNA (447 nucleotides) under uncultured bacterium. Its description in RNAcentral is "SSU rRNA". It matches the Rfam family "Bacterial small subunit ribosomal RNA", at positions 26 to 518 of the family's 1533-position model. The record is from RNAcentral.